AUGUAGUCCCUUAAAUGUUUUGAAAUUGCAAUUUAAUUACAGCAUUUCUUGUGUCACCCAUGCUGUCCUACAACUCGAUUUGUAGAUCAUGUUGGUCUGUUGCGUUAAAUCUCCAACCCAAAAAGGCCCAGUCAAAGGAAGCAACUCCUCAAUUAAUAGGAAGACAAGCUACACACUUCAAUUCAGCAGAUCUAUCACUACACUACUCUGUUUUUCAUCUAUGAGAUUCCAGAUAACUUCCGGUUUCUCCAACCCUGUGCUUCUGUUCCAUCUCCCUUCUACCUCCUCCUCCAUCAUUCCUCCCUCUCCUCUCCUCUUCCUUCUCCUCCAAACUUUUCAUUUCCACCUUCCCUUCUACUGCCCAAUCACUGACUGGCUCUAGCCUUUUUAUGAAAAGUUAAGGUGGGGAGAAUAUUCACAAGGCACCUGUAUACAUGAUUCACUCCUCUUCUACAACCCUUUCCAAAGUCGAAUUAGCAUCAAAAUACAAGAGCAACAUUGGUGUCAAUCAGAGAUUCACUGCCUCCUGAGUGCUGGAGGAGGGACUAAAGGCAUGUGCCACAGCUCUUCUGUUAAAGCUUCCCUGAGAACACUGCGACUCGCAACUCUUGUCUCUUUUCUUUCUUACAAGAAACACCACAUCUUUUCUCUACCUCAUCUCUUUCUCAGUGUGGAAAUUUAGUGACUCUUCUUUGGAGAGCUAAAUAUCCUUGAUCAGGAGAAGCAACUGAAGUCUACAUGGCAUUUUUAGUUUGGUCCCAUAUUUCUAAAUUUUAAUUAAAAUAUAUUCCUUUCUACUUACAUCAAGGGCUGUUCUGAGGAACACUUCAGAUUUCCUGAGACUGUGAUCACUGAUCAUGCUGUAAGUGACAUAACAGCACAUGCAUUUCAUUCAACAAAUGUUUAUUAGAUUAUUAGGCUUCCUCUUCCUGUUGAUGUGUUUAUAAAGAGCAGAUAUGAUCCCCAUUUUCCAGGAAGAAUCAGAUACACAAAAGGAAAAUGAUCUCGGUAUAAGGUGAAGUCUCCGACUACCACACAACAAAGAUGAAUGAGUGAGUGGGCAAAUGACUUUAUUACAGGUAAUGGAAGGUUCUCAGUGCUAAAAGAUGGAUUUAGCUAAAGACAAAGCUUUGAGGAGAAAAAGAGAUAUUCUAGGCAAUGUGAGCAUAAUUAUCAAGCACAAUGCUGCCAUUUUUUCUAAAGGAAUGAAUGAAUUAGGUGGGGAGACUCCACUUAAGUAAAAAGAAAUCCAUAAAGUUGGUCUCCCCAAGGCUUAACAGGUACUGGGUAACAUUUGCCUUCUCCUAAAACCUUUCCACUGCUCUGCUCGCUCACAGCCACCCCACCACGGUUUGUAGAAGUGUUUGGCACACAUUACAAUGCAAUUUCUUUCAUUUGAAAAGAGUUAAUGAUUACACCGAGGUAUCACUUACUAUGUUUUACUUUACCAUGUAAGGUGGGCAUUCCAAUUUUCAUUUAAAUAGCUGAAGUUCAAGAUUGUCAGAUGUCUACAUUAUACAGCCAGUGUACAU
This 1532-nucleotide long non-coding RNA is filed under the name Mus musculus (house mouse). Its description in RNAcentral is "long non-coding RNA chr18:26077422-26078954". Lineage: Eukaryota; Metazoa; Chordata; Mammalia; Rodentia; Muridae. The record is from RNAcentral.